CGAAUGCUGACAUAAGUAACGAUAAAGCGGGUGAAAAGCCCGCUCGCCGGAAGACCAAGGGUUCCUGUCCAACGUUAAUCGGGGCAGGGUGAGUCGACCCCUAAGGCGAGGCCGAAAGGCGUAGUCGAUGGGAAACAGGUUAAUAUUCCUGUACUUGGUGUUACUGCGAAGGGGGGACGGAGAAGGCUAUGUUGGCCGGGCGACGGUUGUCCCGGUUUAAGCGUGUAGGCUGGUUUUCCAGGCAAAUCCGGAAAAUCAAGGCUGAGGCGUGAUGACGAGGCACUACGGUGCUGAAGCAACAAAUGCCCUGCUUCCAGGAAAAG
RNAcentral lists this ribosomal RNA (323 nucleotides) under Escherichia coli. RNAcentral describes it as "partial 23S ribosomal RNA". It matches the Rfam family "Bacterial large subunit ribosomal RNA", at positions 1291 to 1617 of the family's 2925-position model. Lineage: Bacteria; Pseudomonadati; Pseudomonadota; Gammaproteobacteria; Enterobacterales; Enterobacteriaceae. The record is from RNAcentral. RNAcentral also lists the same sequence under 1 other name.